This is a long non-coding RNA of Strongylocentrotus purpuratus (purple sea urchin), 536 nucleotides long. RefSeq lists it as uncharacterized. The record is from RefSeq and is a predicted model, not a curated record. Lineage: Eukaryota; Metazoa; Echinodermata; Echinoidea; Camarodonta; Strongylocentrotidae. The transcript has 3 exons.
UUGAACGGUUGGCACAUUCCACACUAGCAGAGUUGUCUAUUGAACGUGGAGAGAAAGGGAGAGAAUUAGUUCCUCUCAUUGGAGAACCUACUUUACUGGGACAACUUUUCUCCAGUUCAUUCCCAAAACUCACCUGUCUGACCUUCCAAGAGCUAAUAAUGGGCAACAUACGCAGUGAAGCAAUACUACGUAAUCUAAAGAACCACCUGCAUUUGAAAUCAAUAAGUAUCAUUAGCUGUUUUACGGAUGACGAACUGGACCUCCUGGCUAAACAAGUAACUACUGAGAACAGGAUGAAAGUUAUACUUCAACAUGACAAAGCACAAAGGACGUUAACAUUUGGAUGCAAUAUGGGACAAUUAACAAUAGAUAUAAUAGAUACACUUUGCCAUCGAACGUGUGUCCAUCACUUGAAAGUGUUUGAGUAUGGCGUAACAAUUGCAGGUGAAGAAUGUUUUCCAGACUUUCAUGGCAGAGAAGUGGAUUCAAAGGUUAGUGAAACAGUGAAGCAGCUUUCUUACACUUUUACCACCCUC